GUCGAGCGAGAAAAGGGGGGCAACUCCCUGAGUAAAGCGGCGCACGGGUGAGUAACACGUGGGUAAUCUGCCCUGGAGUGGGGAAUAACACCGGGAAACCGGUGCUAAUACCGCAUACGAUAACGAGGUCUGCGGACUUUGUUAUGAAAGGAGCAAUUCGCUCCAGGAGGAGCCCGCGGCUGAUUAGCUAGUUGGUGAGGUAAUGGCUCACCAAGGCUACGAUCAGUAUCCGGUCUGAGAGGACGGUCGGACACACUGGAACUGAGACACGGUCCAGACUCCUACGGGAGGCAGCAGUGGGGAAUUUUUGGCAAUGGGGGCAACCCUGACCAAGCAACGCCGCGUGGGUGAUGAAGUCUCUUGGGACGUAAAACCCUUUCGACGGGGAAGAAACCGCAAGGUUGACGGUACCCGUAGAAGAAGCCCCGGCUAACUCCGUGCCAGCAGCCGCGGUAAUACGGGGGGGGCGGGCGUUGUUCGGAAUUACUGGGCGUAAAGGGUGCGUAGCGGUGCUCUAAGUCGGAUGUGAAAACUCUGGGCUCAACCCAGAGCCUGCAUCCGAAACUGGAGUGCUAGAGUUCUGGAGGGGGUAGCGGAAUUCCUGGUGUAGCGGUGAAAUGCGUAAUAUCAGGAGGAACACCGGUGGCGAAGGCGGCUACCUGGACAGAGUCUGACGCUGAGGCACGAAAGCUAGGGGAGCAAACAGGAUUAGAUACCCUGUAGUCCUAGCCCUAAACGAUGGAUACUUGGUGUAGCUGGGAUGAAUCCCUGUGCCGAACUAACGCAUUAAGUAUCCCGCCUGGGGAGUACGUCGCAAGGCUG
RNAcentral lists this ribosomal RNA (822 nucleotides) under uncultured Bacillota bacterium. RNAcentral describes it as "bacterial SSU rRNA". It matches the Rfam family "Bacterial small subunit ribosomal RNA", at positions 61 to 896 of the family's 1533-position model. The record is from RNAcentral. Lineage: Bacteria; Bacillati; Bacillota.